GACGAACGCUGGCGGCGUGCUUAACACAUGCAAGUCGAACGGAAAGGCCCUGCUUUUGUGGGGUGCUCGAGUGGCGAACGGGUGAGUAACACGUGAGUAACCUGCCCUUGACUUUGGGAUAACUUCAGGAAACUGGGGCUAAUACCGGAUAGGAGCUCCUGCUGCAUGGUGGGGGUUGGAAAGUUUCGGCGGUUGGGGAUGGACUCGCGGCUUAUCAGCUUGUUGGUGGGGUAGUGGCUUACCAAGGCUUUGACGGGUAGCCGGCCUGAGAGGGUGACCGGCCACAUUGGGACUGAGAUACGGCUCAGACUCCUACGGGAGGCAGCAGUGGGGAAUAUUGCACAAUGGGCGGAAGCCUGAGGCAGCAACGCCGCGUGCGGGAUGACGGCCUUCGGGUUGUAAACCGCUUUCGCCUGUGACGAAGCGUGAGUGACGGUAAUGGGUAAAGAAGCACCGGCUAACUACGUG
RNAcentral lists this ribosomal RNA (468 nucleotides) under uncultured bacterium. Its description in RNAcentral is "partial 16S ribosomal RNA". It matches the Rfam family "Bacterial small subunit ribosomal RNA", at positions 28 to 507 of the family's 1533-position model. The record is from RNAcentral.